GUGUCAGCAGCCGCGGUAAUACGUAGGGUCCGAGCGUUGUCCGGAAUUACUGGGCGUAAAGAGCUCGUAGGUGGUUUGUCGCGUUGUUCGUGAAAACUCACAGCUCAACUGUGGGCGUGCGGGCGAUACGGGCAGACUUGAGUACUGCAGGGGAGACUGGAAUUCCUGGUGUAGCGGUGGAAUGCGCAGAUAUCAGGAGGAACACCGGUGGCGAAGGCGGGUCUCUGGGCAGUAACUGACGCUGAGGAGCGAAAGCGUGGGGAGCGAACAGGAUUAGAAACCCCCGUAGUCC
This 292-nucleotide ribosomal RNA is filed under the name uncultured bacterium. RNAcentral describes it as "partial 16S ribosomal RNA". It matches the Rfam family "Bacterial small subunit ribosomal RNA", at positions 505 to 796 of the family's 1533-position model. The record is from RNAcentral.